AACGAACGCUGGCGGCAGGCCUAACACAUGCAAGUCGAACGCUCCAGCAAUGGAGAGUGGCAGACGGGUGAGUAACGCGUGGGAACCUUCCCUAUGGUUCGGAAUAGCUCAGGGAAACUUGAGGUAAUACCGGAUAAGCCCUUCGGGGAAGGAUUAUCGCCAUUGGAUGGGCCCGCGUAGGAUUAGCUAGUUGGUUGAGGUAACGGCUCACCAAGGCGACGAUCCUUAGCUGGUCUGAGAGGAUGAUCAGCCACACUGGGACUGAGACACGGCCCAGACUCCUACGGGAGGCAGCAGUGGGGAAGUAUUGGACAAUGGGCGCAAGCCUGAUCCAGCCAUGCCGCGUGAGUGACGAAGGCC
This 360-nucleotide ribosomal RNA is filed under the name uncultured bacterium. Its description in RNAcentral is "bacterial SSU rRNA". It matches the Rfam family "Bacterial small subunit ribosomal RNA", at positions 29 to 416 of the family's 1533-position model. The record is from RNAcentral.